RNAcentral lists this ribosomal RNA (301 nucleotides) under uncultured bacterium. RNAcentral's name for it is "partial 16S ribosomal RNA". It matches the Rfam family "Bacterial small subunit ribosomal RNA", at positions 509 to 809 of the family's 1533-position model. The record is from RNAcentral.
CAGCCGCCGCGGGAAUACGAAGGGUGCAAGCGUUAAUCGGAAUUACUGGGCGUAAAGCGUGCGUAGGCGGUGAGUUAAGUCUGCUGUGAAAUCCCCGGGCUCAACCUGGGAAUGGCAGUGGAUACUGGCUCGCUAGAGUGUGUCAGAGGAUGGUGGAAUUCCCGGUGCAGCGGUGAAAUGCGUAGAGAUCGGGAGGAACAUCAGUGGCGAAGGCGGCCAUCUGGGACAACACUGACGCUGAGGCACGAAAGCGUGGGGAGCAAACAGGAUUAGAUACCCCUGUAGUCCCUGUCUCUUAUAU